This is a long non-coding RNA of Mauremys mutica (yellowpond turtle), 1329 nucleotides long. RefSeq lists it as uncharacterized. The record is from RefSeq and is a predicted model, not a curated record. The transcript is spliced from 3 exons. NCBI's taxonomy places the organism in Eukaryota, Metazoa, Chordata, Testudines, Geoemydidae.
ACCAGCAAGGAUUAGUAUUUCAGUGCUCACUUAUGAGGAUGUUCACUUCCUCAGGUAUCAACGAAAGUGAAAACUUGGGAAAAACACAAUAGUUGCUAAAAUGGUUUAUCAGCUGGAAGGAAAACAAACCCUACAGCAAUCAAAUUCAAAACAUCCACCUCUUUUAGUCUCUUCAAGACUUAAAGGCUGGCUAUGAGAGGCAAAUGUUUGGAAAGGUGCCAGUAAGAGGAUGAACAAAGAGGUGAAAUCAAUGGGGCUAUGCUGAUUUACAGCAGCUGAGGAUCUAGCCCAGAAAUCCACAUGGUUUUGGAGGGAGUGAUGCAGGAAAUGGAUACUCCUCUUUGGAUUUCAAUCUGUCAAGUAAAACCGCCACCCCAAAUCUUUGAUUACACAGAAGGACUUCUGCAGGUUUGAAGGGAGUGUCAAUGAUGGCUCUAAUUCUACCUCAUGAUGAAUUCUGGACAAUUUUUAUGGAUUUACCAUGAUAUCCCUGCCCUCUAUGAGUAAGACACAAGGAUUUAAUCUGACCCAUGGAAUUAGAGAUAAAAGGCCUAUUGUAUCAUCUACUUCAUCCCCCAGUGCUUUCCAUCAUUUCUCCUUGAGCAACUAUUUUGCAGUAUAAUAGAUGUUGCUGUUAAGAAGAUUUUUUUUUUCAUGCUGUCUUAUUUUUCCUUAAUUUCAUCCAAGUAUGCCUAAUUAUACCUCCCAUUACCAGGCUAAAUAAUUUCCAACCCUAUUUGGCAUUUACCCCAUUCAAAUAUUUAAAAACAGGGCUGAUUCUCUUCUCAUUUAUACACAUGUAAAUCAUGAAUAACUUCACUGAAAUCAAUGGAGUUGCAGAUUUACAAUGGUGUAAAUAGUGUCAAGAGCGAAUCGACCCUAUAUUCUGGGCAGAUUUAAAAAGUAACCAUUCAGAACUGAAUCUAUGAAACAUGGCAGUCUGCCAUGAGAAAAAAUUCCUACACCUUGUGGGGGGGCAGGAUCAGUUCAUCAAAGGGCAAACUGAGCACCUUGAAUUUUAAGUACAGAGGGAUAGGUAAAUUAAUGCACAAAGGGCUCCAAACAAAUACUUGAAACUGUGUGGCUGAAAGCACUAUAGAAGAGUUAAGUGUUAAUUAUUGUCACAUAUGUUGCGUGGAUUAUUAUACUACAUUUACGUCCCACUAGCAUACAGCUGGAAAUGUCACCCUUGUUCCUGUUAUACAUGACCCAUGCAGGACACAGUUGAACAUUCAUCCAACUUGUGUAAAGUACUCUGUGUGCAGGCUGCUGCUUGCAUUUUUUCCCCUCUUUAUGUUGGCAUUAUUCCUACAUGUAUUGCACAAUCUA